Ictalurus punctatus (channel catfish) is the source of this 1364-nucleotide long non-coding RNA. The record is from Ensembl. NCBI's taxonomy places the organism in Eukaryota, Metazoa, Chordata, Actinopteri, Siluriformes, Ictaluridae.
CUGCUACCGAGAAACAGGGAGAGAGGGAGUUAGGAGAGACAAAGGGAAGUAAGAAGAGAUUUGUGUCGGUGUUGAAGUUUAUAACUUCAGUCUGUACAGUGUGGCUCCACACAGACCCACAUCAGCAUGGGGAAGAAAAAAGAGGAUCAAGAACAGCAGCAGUCUGAAUAUGGUGUGUCCUGUUACUUUGAAUGUUUAAACAAUAAAUAGCUCUGAAUGUCUACUCAUGGUUUUAGCCUUCAGUUUUGUCUGUGAAAACUGAUGUUAUAAAGGAUAAACUAACAUGACGAUCAGAGAGCUGUGUAUGGGAGAAAAGCAAGCAAUUUUGAAGCUGAGGAAAAAUCAAUCAGAGUCAUGGCUUGGGCUCGCACGGCUGCUUCUGGAACGUUCUCACUAAUCUUUAUUGAUGAUGAACUCAUGAAGGUAGAAGCCGAAUGAAUUCAGAAGUUUACAGGAACAUUCUGUCUGCAGAUUUACAGAAAAUGCAUCCGAAUGAAUCAGACGAACUUCAUCAUGCAGCAAGACAACGAUCCAAAACACACUUCCACCUCAACACAGGACUUCAUCAGGGGAAAAGUGGAAGGUUUUAGACUGGACACGUCAAUCACCAGACCUUCACCCAACUGAUCAGCAUCUCACCUCCUGAAGAGGAGACUGAAGGGAGAACCCCCCGAAACACACAACUACUGACAGAAGCUGCAGGAGAAACCUGGAGAAGCUUCACAGGAGAAGAAACCAGCAGUGUGGUGUCAGUGAGGCGCAGGAGUGAUGCAGUUACUGCAAGCGAAUAUUAAGUCUUAUUUACUAAAUAUACUUUAAGACAUAUCUGUUCCAACACUUUUGCUCACAUAAAAAUUGGAUGGUCUGAUACAAAAGGUUGUGUGUUUUAUGUUGCUUAACACGUCUAGAUGUAAAUAUCAUGAAAUAAAAGCUGAAAUCCUAAACUCUCAUCUCCAUCUCCUGAUCGCAAAACCACCUGACCUUGCUGUUCCAAUAGAUUUGGAGGGGACUGUAUGUAUUUUUUUUUUUUUACUUAGCUUUUUGUUCUUAUUUUACUUUUAUUUGUUUUCUCUUAGCAUCUUUUAGUAUCUCUCUCUGACUACUCAGUGUCUCUCUCUCUCUCUCUCUCUCUCUCUCUCUCUCUCUCUCUCUCUCUCUCUCUCUGUUCUCUCAUUGGUUGUUCAGUGUAACGUGAUCUGUUCUCCACCUGUAAAACAGGUUCUCGGAGAUGCAGUACAGUAAUAUUUACUGAUGGCUGUGUUUGUGAAACUUCUCAUAAUGACUCUCUUUAAUAUUGAAUCUAUUAAGUAACAUUACUUGUUACACUCCUAGAUUUAAUUCAAAUUAAAAAAAGAAAAUGUUUA